UGCGGCGACGUGGGCGGUUCGCUGCCCGCGACGUUGUGAGAAGUCCACUGAACCUUAUCAUUUAGAGGAAGGAGAAGUCGUAACAAGGUUUCCGUAGGUGAACCUGCGGAAGGAUCAUUG
This 120-nucleotide ribosomal RNA is filed under the name Astragalus tribuloides. Its description in RNAcentral is "partial 18S ribosomal RNA". It matches the Rfam family "Eukaryotic small subunit ribosomal RNA", at positions 1716 to 1831 of the family's 1831-position model. Lineage: Eukaryota; Viridiplantae; Streptophyta; Magnoliopsida; Fabales; Fabaceae. RNAcentral also lists the same sequence under 8 other names. The record is from RNAcentral.